CAUUUUUAUCGUGCAUAAUGAAACUGCCUUUUCUGUUGAUUUAUUUGUGAUGAUGUAAUGAUGACGUCAGGGGGCGUCGGCUAUUUAAAUAUACUAUUUUUGACCGCAUUACGCAUUGAAUUCUCCUUUUAUUAUGAGUGUGAUUUAGGUUGUUUUUGCCGAACAAUGAAUAAAGAAUACUGAAGUGACAAUACGAGCAAAUGCGCGUUGAUUUUACCGACCGCUCCUACGUUACGGCUAACGUUACUGGCCCCUCCCCCCGUUGAUACGAACACUGUUUAGGUUGUCACAUGACCAGAGGAAAGGAACACAUCGGUGAUGUCAUCAUAAUAGCAGCUCUGGUUUUCUCCAUUAAUCACAAACUUCCUGAGCGGAGUAAGUGAACCGUCCUCCACUCUGACGCUCUUCCUCCUCCUCUUCCUCCCCCCAUCCCACUGCAGACCUCAGAUCUGCUCUGGUGACACACUGGGAUUAGUUGACAUGCCAUCAUCCAGUCAUCAAGCAGAGGAUUACGUGUUGUGCUCGAGGUAACACAAACGCACACAGUGACACACACUCAGUGACACAAACGCACACAGUGACACACAAAUGUGCAUUGUAUACACGAGCUAUUAAAUGUGCACUUUGACUCUGCAUUAGAAGUCUGUCGGCCAUUUUGAACCCGCAGGUUUGUUUUCUUUCUUUGUGGUGGUUUUUGUUCAAACAAACAAAGAUUUUUCUGAGUAUCAGUUCACUUUCUAUAAAUGUUGAUAUUAAACUUUAAACUACAUUCUUCUCUCAUGAGAUCGUUAUCUCAACACGUUGUGUAUUAAACUGAAACAAAGAGCAACAAAGAAAAGGCCUCAAGCAGCAAAUGACUGUUUAGUUUAAAUGAAUGUGAACGUGAUCUUUUACAUCGGUAAAAAUUCAGUAAUCAGUGAAGCCAAAGCAGAAGAUGAAUUGAUAAACCCAAAUGAACGACGUUCACAGCCUCUGGUAGACGUCCAUCUCACGUAGGAUGAGGCAAAGCGAACGAUGUCACCAUGGUAACAAGCUGCAACGUGAUUAUUGGACUUUCACAGUAAGGAAAUCGUCCUUGAGAGACUGCAGGUGAGAAACAAACACAACCAGAGGCCGAUUGCAUCUGUGACCCCCCCCCUCAAAGAUUCCUCCCCGGGCCGCACGCCGCACGCCGCCACCGAGGCUCGUGAAGCAACAUGUUUGAAAUAUUCAAUCAAAGCAGAACGAAUGUGGAUGUGUGAAACUCAACUGUUGUUUUAUCUUCUGUCUACUUUUAUCUUGUUGAACCUUCACAAACGUAGUGGGACAUAAAGUGAAGGAUUCAUCGUUAUAAUCUGGUUACAUGUAUAAUACGCAUAAUAUGUGUGUGUGUGUGUCUCAGGUCCCUGAGGACUCUCCAGCUGUUGGAGGUGCUGGUUUCUCAGGUGAGGCGCUAUUGAGGACCUGCAGGGUCCUGAACCUCAUCUCAGGUGCACGGGUGACACAAACCUCGAGGUCGGAGGAAACAGAAUAUCGGUGAGAACCAAAACAACUUGUGGAUCGCCGAUCGGAGGUCUCACGUACAAAACGAGACUAACCAUCUGGCAGGAACGAGACGUCCUCUAAACACCGGCCCUGAUGUGGACGGCAGCGCCCAGGUGGGAGGUGCUGAUGGUCGCUGACGUCCCGCCCCCCUCGAGCGCUGGCUGGUGCAAACACACAAACACACAAACACACAACACCAAAAACCUUGUCCAGACAAAUCACGUGACGAAGGAGGAGACCUGACGACGCCCCCGUUGACUGGCAGGACCCUCGACGUGACACGUGACACGAUGGAUUCAUGUCACGUUCUACUGAUGCCGCCACCACACAGGUGAGAAUAAGCCCCUCCUCCAUCCUACGAGAUGCCAUCUUUCGGCGGCCGUCGCCAACUGCCUUCAUCUGGUGCCUCUCUUUCUCCACCGCCUACACACACACGCGCAGACACACACACGCCGCCGUGCAAACGCACAAACACGCGCCCACUCAGAGCAGGUAGAGACGUGUGAGGUCCUUCAGGGAGAAGAAGGAGCGUCAGAGGAGCUCGUGACAGAAGUUCUCCUGCUCUCAGAGAGUCAAUAAUAGUGUUUGACAGCAGCUGAUUCUGGAGGUUCUCCACCUCCAGCAGCUCACCAGAGGAAGCCGGGACACUUUGUUGUGUCGGAGUGGAGGAAACAAAGAUGGGUUUCUGGAGGAUGUGGAUGCAACCUUAGACUUCAGGACGAGACCAGUGACGUCGGUCAAAUGUGACCACUGCUGUAAUAACGAUGUUAGCAGGUGUCACCAGGAGCGACCGGGUCCAGAUAGAACACUGAAGGAGCACAAAGGAGGAAAGAGCGGGACGUCCCGCGCCAGGCGCCCCCCCGUGCAGCACCUCUUCUUCCUCCUGAGUGACAGCUCA
Molecule: long non-coding RNA, 2422 nt
Organism: Gasterosteus aculeatus aculeatus (three-spined stickleback)
Lineage: Eukaryota; Metazoa; Chordata; Actinopteri; Perciformes; Gasterosteidae
Source: Ensembl